RNAcentral lists this ribosomal RNA (497 nucleotides) under uncultured bacterium. RNAcentral's name for it is "partial 16S ribosomal RNA". It matches the Rfam family "Bacterial small subunit ribosomal RNA", at positions 28 to 507 of the family's 1533-position model. The record is from RNAcentral.
GACGAACGCUGGCGGCGUGCCUAAUACAUGCAAGUUGAGCGAUGAAGAUUGGUGCUUGCCCCAAUUUGAAGAGCAGCGAACGGGUGAGUAACGCGUGGGGAAUCUGCCUUUGAGCGGGGGACAACAUUUGGAAACGAAUGCUAAUACCGCAUAACAACUUUAAACAUAAGUUUUAAGUUUGAAAGAUGCAAUUGCAUCACUCAAAGAUGAUCCCGCGUUGUAUUAGCUAGUUGGUGAGGUAAAGGCUCACCAAGGCGAUGAUACAUAGCCGACCUGAGAGGGUGAUCGGCCACAUUGGGACUGAGACACGGCCCAAACUCCUACGGGAGGCAGCAGUAGGGAAUCUUCGGCAAUGGACGAAAGUCUGACCGAGCAACGCCGCGGGAGUGAAGAAGGGUUUCGGAUCGUAAAACUCGGUUGGUAGAGAAGAACGUUGGUGAGAGUGGAAAGCUCAUCAAGUGACGGUAACUACCCAGAAAGGGACGGCUAACUACGUG